UGCUUUUGAAAGAUCCCUAAAGCGGGUAUUUGAUUCUAAUUAGCGAAAUUGUUGCACAACGGUUCAUGUUCUAGUAAUACUUUGUUUAGUAUACUAUAGCAGAGAGCAAAAAGCGUUCGAGUCAGAGUUAUGGAUGCGCGAACGAAGGGUACUUAGUCUAAAGUGCUAGAGAUGCGAAAGAAGAAUGUUUGAAGAGCUCGCGAUUAUGCACGACUAUUCAAGGCUGCGGUGUACGUGUCUCAAUGUCCGUGUCACACUGAACGAAAGAGAACUCGAGGGAGAAUUAGAGGAAAAAGAAAUGGUUGGGAACGUGUGUCUCGUGGUGCGGAUUGAUGCAUACUUCUACGGUGCUGAUUCGCAACCUUGCCCCGACUACAGGCUGAAAUAAUUCUUAGUAGUGUGAACACGCGAUUACAAUAUUUCGGAACAAUUCUUCGAUGUGACGAU
This 447-nucleotide unclassified non-coding RNA is filed under the name Bombus terrestris (buff-tailed bumblebee). Its description in RNAcentral is "misc RNA ENSBTSG00005021947.1". Lineage: Eukaryota; Metazoa; Arthropoda; Insecta; Hymenoptera; Apidae. The record is from RNAcentral.